UGGGGAAUUUUCCGCAAUGGGCGAAAGCCUGACGGAGCAAUGCCGCGUGGAGGUGGAAGGCCUACGGGUCGUCAACUUCUUUUCUCGGAGAAGAAACAAUGACGGUAUCUGAGGAAUAGGCAUCGGCUAACUCUGUGCCAGUAGCC
This 146-nucleotide ribosomal RNA is filed under the name uncultured bacterium. Its description in RNAcentral is "partial 16S rRNA". It matches the Rfam family "Bacterial small subunit ribosomal RNA", at positions 355 to 516 of the family's 1533-position model. The record is from RNAcentral.